GCAAUGGCCAAGAUGAGGAAUAGUAGUUCGACAAGCUUUUCAGAGAGCCGACGGGUGGUGCGAGUCGGUAAGUUUUGGAUCGAAUGAACUCGCCUCGGAGCUGCAGCAGGGAAUCGCAUGAUGCGAAGUAUUUGUUGCCGUUUCGUCCGCGUUACAGGACGUUAAUGAGAGUGCCCUACACGUUGUUACGGCGAGGGUGCUGAAUUAGGGUGGUACCACGGGAAUGUUAAUCCUAACCUCUCGUCCCUAGC
This 251-nucleotide non-coding RNA is filed under the name Tumebacillus algifaecis. RNAcentral's name for it is "T-box sequence". It matches the Rfam family "T-box leader". From Rfam's summary of the family: Uncharged tRNA acts as the effector for transcription antitermination of genes in the T-box leader family. T-boxes are found upstream of many aminoacyl-tRNA synthetase genes and some amino acid biosynthetic genes usually in Gram-positive bacteria. The record is from RNAcentral. Lineage: Bacteria; Bacillati; Bacillota; Bacilli; Caryophanales; Alicyclobacillaceae.